UACGAAGGGUGCUAGCGUUGUUCGGAAUCACUGGGCGUAAAGCGCGCGUAGGCGGCUUUUUAAGUCAGAGGUGAAAGCCUGGAGCUUAACUCCAGAACUGCCUUUGAAACUGAAAAGCUAGAGUCUUGGAGAGGAUACUGGAAUUUCUAAUGUAGCGGUGAAAUGCGUAGAUAUUAGAAGGAACACCAAUGGCGAAGGCAGGUAUCUGGACAAGCACUGACGCUGAGGCGCGAAAGCGUGGGGAUCAAACAGG
Molecule: ribosomal RNA, 253 nt
Filed under: uncultured bacterium
Lineage: Bacteria
Description: partial 16S ribosomal RNA
Rfam family: Bacterial small subunit ribosomal RNA
Source: RNAcentral